Molecule: unclassified non-coding RNA, 277 nt
Organism: Erinaceus europaeus (western European hedgehog)
Lineage: Eukaryota; Metazoa; Chordata; Mammalia; Eulipotyphla; Erinaceidae
Gene: 7SK
Rfam family: 7SK RNA
About the family: 7SK was discovered as an abundant small nuclear RNA in the mid-70s but a possible function has only recently been suggested. Two independent studies have found that 7SK RNA binds the CDK9/cyclin T complex (known as elongation factor P-TEFb).
Source: Ensembl
GGAUGUGCGGGUAAUCUGGCUAGCUAGGCGGGUGUCGCCUUCCUCCCUCACCACUCCAUGUGCGUCCCUCCUGAAGCUGUGCGUUCUGUCAAAGAGAACAGCCUUCCCCAAAUAGAGAGACUGGUCUUCAGUCAAGGGUAUACACAUAGCUGCGCUGCCCUGCUAGAACCUCCAAACAAGCUCUUAAGGUCUGUGUGGUUCUUGGGCUUGAACCCAAGGCCUCAGGCACAGUGAGGUGCACAUACUGAUGCAGGGGUGGAAAACUUUUUUGCUGUUA